UGAAUAAUUGAAAAGAACUUAUGAAGGGGACAAAUUUGAAGAAGUAUACCGUAAGAUUUCCCUUGCAGUGACUGCAUUUGAAGCAGCUUUUAUGGUAAGGAAUGCCUUCAAGAGUUAACAAGUCAACAACAUAUACAGUCUUAUCACAAGCCGCACAUUUGUCAAGAGUUCCAGUGAAAGACAUGUUUUCUACCCUUCCUCAAGACCUUUCAAAUGCUUUGUGUUUAUGUCUUAUGUCUUUUCCCUUUAAGGUCUGAGGAACAAAGAGCAGGUUCAACAAAGAAUAAUGCGCCCCUCAGACAAAUGGGGAUUGAACAAAGUCUUGGAUAUGUCUAAGCACAAGUAACUUAUAUCGCGGAUAUUAAAGGGUUCACAAGUGAUUGGAGACCCAACAAUUUUGUGAUGCAAAAAUGGAAAGUUUGUGUUGUGAUUUGUGG
RNAcentral lists this long non-coding RNA (437 nucleotides) under Lotus japonicus. RNAcentral describes it as "long non-coding RNA (LJAP_LNC000827)". Lineage: Eukaryota; Viridiplantae; Streptophyta; Magnoliopsida; Fabales; Fabaceae. The record is from RNAcentral.